Molecule: non-coding RNA, 1614 nt
Organism: Python bivittatus (Burmese python)
Lineage: Eukaryota; Metazoa; Chordata; Lepidosauria; Squamata; Pythonidae
Source: RefSeq, a predicted model, not a curated record
UUCGCGGACAGAAGGUGGGGCGGGGAAUGCGGGCUGAGACCUGCGUGCAGGCAUCUGGCUGGUCGACUGUCCUCCCUUCAGGCUGUGCGCCUUCUUUCGACCCUCCCUCGGUCCCUUCAGCAACCUCGCUGCUGGGUAGUUCCCUCUCCACCUGGCCAGAGGAGAUUUGGACAAACACUUUGAGAAUCCAGAUAUGAAUGGCUACCAACAUUAGAGACCCAACAUCAUCACCAUCACCACCUCAGCUACACUAGAUUCACUGCUACACUAGCAGACUCAGCUGGAUACUUCAAACAGAGAAGAGCCUGCUGCCCAGGCUUAUAAGAGUGCUUGAAGAAAAGUAUGAGGAUUGGAGCAGCUAGUGGCCACACUUCAGCUCACAACACAGGAUGAAGAUUUAAAAGAUGAAAUAAUGGAAAUGCUACAACAGAUGUUAACAGAGGAAACGACCCUACAUAAGGAAGAGAAUCAAAACAAUAAGCAAGCCCAGUGGACAAGUGUGAUAACCAGAAACAGUAGAUGAAGAAGGUAUUCUGCACUGCUAGAAUUUAGAAACAAUUCUGCUGCUGCCAAAAAGACAAGCUGUAAGGUUUCAAAGGCAGAGAAAGUGAGAUUGCUGAACAGAAAAUAGAAGAGUGGGUUCCUGGAGGGUAGAGGAGAUGCAACUGAGUCCUGCAAGAAGAUAAAGAUCAGUUAUAGUUGAUAACUCAUCCCCAGAGGAGUCCCCUGGAAGAAUGGGGAGGAGGGAAGUGACAAAGCAUAUACUGUGACAUUGUGACCCAAAUUCUGCCCUUGGUGAAAAAUGAUUCAGAAACUGAACAAGUUAAAGAUAGUAUGAUUAAAUGGAUGCAGAAUUUAACAUGUGACAAUGAGAUUAUCAGUGGAAGAAAAAUAUUAAAUUUACUGUGAAUAUGACCCUUCAAAAACGAAUACAAGAAGUUUUACCAAUGGUAUACUAGUGUGAUUGCUAAAUCAGCUCAUUCUCUAAAAAUUAUUGGAAAUGCAAUAAUCAGAUCAGAUCAUUAUUUCGUAUUUGGUAGCAAUGUUAUAAAGGUCAACAGUUCUGGAAGAUGAUCUGUUAUAGAAUGAAACGCAUUCUCCUUCCAACCAUCCAUUUUCUGUUAAACAUGACCAAACUUUAUAUUUGCACAAAGUAUAUCAAGUUGGCUUUAUGGUAACAGCUGUCAGAACACUUUAGCUUUUCAUUAGAAAUUGCAUAUAAUUCAGUCUAUAGAAGAAUGGCAAAUUAAUCUGUGGGAGCACACAUAAAAAAAAAAACACCUUUAUAUUUGAAAAGCAAAUCUGAUAUAGAAUUCAGUUCAAUUUGGAAACCAUUCCUGGAUUGCAAUUCAACACAUGGAUUUAUACUGCAUCUGAAGUUUGGGUUUCUUUUAAAAUAAGGCUUUAAUAUCUAAGCUCUUAUUUGAUUUGCUAAACAAAGGAUAGACUUUUAGAUUAGUCAUUUUUAUCAUUUUUAAAUUUUGAUUUAUAAUUCAUAUUAUACUGGCUAUUGUUGCCAAUCUUUGCGUAUCAACUUGAUUUUAAUAAUGUUCUGAACUUCUAAAUUGAUACAAGAUAUUUUAAUAUGCAGCACUAAUCUAAUGUUACUUUGAC